This 257-nucleotide unclassified non-coding RNA is filed under the name Hevea brasiliensis (rubber tree). Lineage: Eukaryota; Viridiplantae; Streptophyta; Magnoliopsida; Malpighiales; Euphorbiaceae. The record is from RNAcentral.
UAUUGACCCAAUUCUCCACCACCGCAUCGGAAACCGAGUCAUUCACCGUGACUCGCUUGAUCCAACCAUCUGCGCAAGUCGUGUAAAUGACUCCCGACUUGCUGUCAUACGCUAUAUCUUCUGGUCCCUGCAAAAGCCCAACGCCCAGAAAUUCUGAUCCUUGAAGGAGGCGACCAUUUUUCAUCGACGGCUCCGGCAAGUGGUGAGUCAACUCAUGGUUAGGGAAAGGAGCAGGGUCGAAGGAGUCGAGGUGGAAA